RNAcentral lists this ribosomal RNA (870 nucleotides) under uncultured archaeon. RNAcentral's name for it is "bacterial SSU rRNA". It matches the Rfam family "Archaeal small subunit ribosomal RNA", at positions 5 to 879 of the family's 1478-position model. The record is from RNAcentral.
CGGUUGAUCCUGCCGGAGGUCACUGCUAUUGGGAUUCGANUAAGCCAUGCGAGUCGAGAGGGUUCGGCCCUCGGCAAACUGCUCAGUAACACGUGGAUAAUCUGCCCUUNAGGUGGAGGAUAACCUUGGGAAACUGAGAAUAAUACUCCAUAGAUCUACGAUGUUGGAAUACACAUAGAUUGAAAGUUCCGACGCCUAAGGAUGAGUCUGCGGACUAUCAGGUUGUAGUCAGGGUAAGGACCUGACUAGCCUACAACGGAUACGGGUUGCGAGAGCAAUAACCCGGAGACGAUAUCUGAGACACGAUAUCGGGCCCUACGGGGCGCAGCAGGCGCGAAACCUUCACAAUGUGCGAAAGCGCGAUGAGGGGAUCCCAAGUGCUUGCACUUAAGUGUAAGCCGUUUCUUUGUUUAAAAUGCAGAGAGAGUAAGGGCUGGGUAAGACGGGUGCCAGCCGCCGCGGUAAUACCUGCAGCUCAAGUGGUGACCGCUAUUAUUGGGCCUAAAACGUCCGUAGCCUGCUGAGUAAAUGCUUGGGUAAAUCGUGCCGCUUAACGGUACGAAUUCCGGGUAGACUGCUCAGCUUGAGACCGGGAGAAGCUAGAGGUACUCCUGGGGUAGAGGUGAAAUUCUGUAAUCCUGGGGGGACCACCAGUGGCGAAGGCGUCUAGCUAGAACGGGUCUGACGGUGAGGGACGAAACCCUGGGGCGCGAACCGGAUUAGAUACCCGGGUAGUCCAGGGCGCAAACGCUGCUUGCUUGAUGUUAGCUGGGCUCCGAGCUCAGCUAGUGUCGGAGAGAAGUUGUUAAGCAAGCUGCCUGGGAAGUACGAUCGCAAGAUUGAAACUUAAAGGAAUUGGCGGGGGAGCAC